Long non-coding RNA from Passer domesticus (house sparrow), 440 nucleotides. RefSeq lists it as uncharacterized. The record is from RefSeq and is a predicted model, not a curated record. The transcript has 3 exons. Lineage: Eukaryota; Metazoa; Chordata; Aves; Passeriformes; Passeridae.
UGGCUUGAGACAUUUCAGGGGUGUGUUUGGGGAAAAGGGCAGGUCAAUUCUUGCCCUGGUGAGGCAAUGCACUGCUCGAUACAGCACCCCCCCACCCUUGAACUGUAUCCAAGCCCUGCAGUGACCACCAGUCCCUGGCAUGCUGGAGGCAAUUCUUCACACCUCACCUCUGAAGUCCCUAACCCAGCUCCUGAGUGGCCAAAUCACCAAAAGUCUCACCUUGGGCAAGGGGCCAGGAAACUCCAAGGGUAUUAAGCCAGAGCACAAGAAAACUGGAGAAUACUAUGCUUUUCUGAUGUCUCAAAAGGCUUUUGCUAAAGCCCAAUGCUGAUGACAUCCAAUUCUACUCCUACAAGACCUUCAUGUAUCAGUGGUGAACAGGCAUUUGGCUCACUACAAGAUAACCAGCAAAAGGAAAGUAUAUCCAUGUCAUCCAAAGU